GCUGCCCCGCACCGCAGCUCUGGCGGGGGCGGCCACGGCAACGCGGGGAGCGCCGGCUGGGGACAGAGGGCUCGGGGGAGUUCUGGAAGAAUGCAAGGAUUUCGGUUCGGUCCCUGAGAAAUGCUGCGGCACGUAUUUGGCUGGCGGGAGAUCUCGCACUGCCCUUGCAGCCAGCGCCCGUUUGCAUCCCAGCAGACACAAAGAGCGCCCCGGCUCCAGAGCGGGGGGUGUCCCGGGCGGCUCCUUCCCCCACAGCCCGUCCCUGCCUGGAGACUGCCCAGACAUGGGCAGCGUACCGGGGCGCGCUGGCUGUGCGCGGGGGCGCUGGAGCCCGGUGCCCGUACCCGGAGCGCUGGAGCCCGGUGCCCGUACCCGGAGGACGACCAGGGACGGGCGGCCUGCCGGGGGAGCGACCCUGCGCGUCGCCGGCCCUGCCCGUUGCCAUGGAGACGCGGCCCGCCCGUUGCCAUGGAGACGCGGCCCGCCCGCUGCCAUGGGGACGCGGCCCGGCGAGCGGCGCCUCCAACCGGGCGCAGCCCGCGGCGGCCCGGCCUGCCCCAGCAGCUCACCGCGGCCCCGGGCCGGCCGGGCCGUGCGGGGCCGGGGCGGCGCCUGCGAGCGAGGCCGGCGGGGCCGGGGAGAGCCCGCAGCCGCUCCCGCCCGGGCAGCCGGAGCCCCCGUGGGGGUUCCGCGGAGCCGUGUGUGCUCCCGGGCCCGCGGGUGAGCAGAACAGCCGAGCACCCGGGCAGCGUCACGGGAAAAUACCGGUCACUGGGGAUAAUCUGCAAAUGUAUAAUCUAAAGGAGAAACUUGCUGUGUGUGUGUUCCCUUUCCAAAGCACACUGUCGUAUUUCUCAGCCCUUGCCUCCAGCCCGCCGGCUGGAAUUCGGGGUGCUCGGGGGUGCUGAGCGAUGGGUGACGGUGGCUCUGAGGGGCUCAGCGCCCGCGGGGACGACUUCGGGGGUGAGCACCUCGAAAAGGGAAACCCGCCGGGUUCCAGUUCACCAGGAGAGAUCAGGAAAGCUGUUGAACAGUGUCUGUUGUCAUCGUCACGCACUCUCGAUGUCAGCGGGAGAAAUAUUGAGCAUCUUACUGAUGAAAUGUAUAGACAGCCCCGCAUAAAGUACUUUCAUCUGGAAAGAAAUGUCAUAUCAACAAUUCCCGAGGAUUUAUUUCAAAACAGCCACGUCUCGUUUGGCUGGAUCUGUGGUAUAACAAGAUUACAGCUCUUCCUCCUGGAGUUGGGCACCACAGGCAAUUGAAAACGCUGCUUUUAGAGAAGAAUCCCAUAAAAGAGCUGCCCGCAGAGCUUGGUAAGCACUCACUGCUUUUUUUGAAGGUAUCAAAGAUAUAUUUUGGCGCUUAUUGCUUACUUCUGUGGUUAGACUUUAAAAUACUUUGAUAUUUAUCUAAAGAAUGGUUUUAAUUUACCACAAAUGUGCUAUGAGAGGGGGAAAAAUUACUUAUAUUGUUUGAUAAGAGGGGCGAAUUUUAUUAAAAUGUCUGUAGUGUUCUGGUCAGAAAUGUUCAAUACGGUUCCUCUGAGCAAGGCUGAAGUGAAAGACAUGUCUCAAAUGUCAGAUGUCUCAGGCACCUGCACAGUAACACAUAAAUCAUGAACAGCAGUUUCUUACAGUUGAGGUUGCCUUUGCCGUUUGUAACUUCAUUUUGCUAACUCCUUUUGCUUAGCAGUUAGCGUUUUGAAAUAAUGCGCGUUUCCAAAUCAAAUGUUGCUGAGGAAAACGGAGCAGGUAGGAUGGAUUCCUGGGGUGUUUCGGUGUUGGGUUUUUAAUCCCUGUUCACUGUUGUCUGAGCUGUAAAGCUCCAUGCUGUGGUAUCACUGCACCACAGCCGUGCCAGCUCUGAACCUUCGCUCGGGUUUUUCAGAAAACGUUGCUGACAUAAUACCGAUCCUCUUGCUUUCCACCUAGUGGUUAUUUUAGAGCAGUCUGGACUGGUCCCUGUGAGGCUUCCAGCAGCUCCCCUGGCAGAGCUCUCGGGGCCCCAUGUUCUCCAGGCCAGGAUCCCUGCGGCCUGUCCCAGCGCUGCGCUGGUCGCCCGCAGCCCACGCGCCGUGCACCGCACACCUGUGAUGCCUUCGUACGUGCUAGGGAAGGAAAAGCGCCCGUGGUUCAGGCGCUGCUGACUCAGCCAGGUUCACCCGCGCUGCCAGCUCGGCUCUGCUCCUCAGCUCUUAGUUGCAUCCUGCACAGGGCUCGCUCAUGGGGAGCCUAUCUCCUAGGAAACUUAUUUGAAGGAGAGCUUUCAACAGGGGAUCAGAGCAUGGAAAAGUGCAAGGAAGUGGCCUCGAACUGGAGCUGGGCUGGUGGCCCCUGCAGCCCCACUGUUGCCCGUGCGGCUGCUGGAGAGGCAUGGCUAGUAGCCCAGGCAGGGAAGGACGCAGGGCAGCACCUGGUGCGUUCCUGCUUCACGUGCGGCAGCCUGUUCCUGGGAGAGCUCUGCUCGUCGUACCCCGAGCUGAGUGGUGACUGAAUCAAAAAUACAUUAUGGGCUGAUUUAAAUAUUAUUGUGCUUAUCAAAACAGAGUGGGCCGCUGGUGUGCUGGCCCACCUGCAGUAAAAUGUGUUCAAUCCAUUGUGGUUUUCUGGACAGAUCAGGGCUCUCUUAUACUAUAAUAGUUUGAUUGUUACAGGUUUCCAGCUUGGUAUUCAAAUGAGGGAAUUCCUACCAUAUGUGACACUUAUCCAUUUCUCCUGGCUCUACGGAUGAUAGGUACCAGAAAAGAAUGCCAGCGUUCCUGCUGUGCUGCAGGUCCCGUUCCAGCCGCAGCGGCUGGCCGGAGCGCGGCAGAGCUGCGGGGCGGGUUUGCCGGGCAGCACUGGUUCCUGCUGUGCUGCAGGUCCCGUUCCAGCCGCAGCGGCUGGCCGGAGCGCGGCAGGGCUGUGGGGCUGGUUUGCCGGGCAGCACUGGUUCCUGCUGUGCUGCAGGUCCCGUUCCAGCCGCAGCGGCUGGCUGGAGCGUGGCAGGGCUGCGGGGCGGGUUUGCCGGGCAGCACUGACAGAUGGCUGGAGGCAGCGGCUGCCCCGGUCCCGUACGCGCUUGGCAGCGCAGCCGCGGCGGUGCCUGGACUGCAGGGCUGGCCCGAGCCAGGCCCGUCGCUCCGCCAGCUCUGCUGCCGAGACUCGCAGCAUCGUUUGCCUUCAUCGCUCACACACAUCCACCUCAGCGUUUCUAACAGCCGUGGGUAUCCGGGUGAGGCUGGCAGCGUGGUUGUGCUGGCGCGAUGCUUUCCUGCCAUCUGCCCUACUUUGGAUUGUCCGUUCCUUUGACAGAGCCUGUAUGUCCGUGGUGUUGCCACCUAGAGUCACAUGUACACAAUUGUGUAAUAAAUAUAGACAGAUACAUGUGUGUAUGUGUAUAUAUACAUACACACAUCUGAUGUCAAGAACUGGGCAGAACUCUCUGCCCCACAGCGGCUGAGCUGCUUUGGACUUGAAUCCUGCCAUGGUGGACCGUGCGAGACCUGGACCCACGCAGUGAUUUGAGCCUUAGCUACAGGACGCAGAGGUAACGCAGGGGUUGCCUUAAUCCAGGGUACCAGAGGCAUCUCCUUUCCCUGCGUGGAACCGUCCCUCGCAUGUCCCAGGCAGCACAGGCUUCUCGGUCACGGGGACCUGGGGGGAUGAGCGAGGGGUCCCCCCGGUAAGCCAGGAGAAAACCUGGGAGCUGCGCUGUGACACAGCAAGGGGUUGUCAAAAUCUAGUAUAUCUUUACAAAACACUCAUGUUUUGACAAGACAGCUUUUCCUGACAAAAUCAUGUUUCAUGAGCUAAUUCCCAGCCCACUCAUCCUCCCACCCUUCCCCAUUGCUCUCUCAUCCGUACACUUGCCAUCCUGAGCACCUGCAUCAGAAACCAGAGGAGAAGCUGAUGCCGGCAGCGCCAGCACCACCACACACUGGAGUCACCGUGCUGCAGCGGCCGCUCCAGCGUCCCUUGUCUGCUCUCCUCAGUGUUCAUUAGAACAUCAGGGUUGGGAUGCUGAUAUCACCAAUACCAAAUAGAAAGUUUGUCAUGUAAACUGGGAUGAGUUUGGAGGAUGAUCCGUGAUAACUCUGUCUCAACUGUUAGUCUUCCUUUCUUGGGUGUGUUUUUCACCGAGGUCUGGAAUGAAUUUGCAAUGUCUGCCUUCGUUCAUGGAUUUAUUUUUUGUUGUUGUUGUUAAAAGCGACUUGUUCAAUGAAUGAAAAAUCUUUGGAAGGGAAGCAGAAGUCUGAAUGGUAACAAACCAGCUUUGUUAUUCACCUGUGUCUCUUCCUGCAGUGUUUACACUGGUUCACCUGAUCUGUGUAGAAUUAUCAUGUGUUCUGAAUGUAGUUACUGAAGAUGAAGAAGUCCUUGCCAGUCGCCAUGUUUCCAGCAGUGCUUUCAGACUCCAGCGUGCUGUGCACUCGCUGGGCAGCACCGUGGGACACGCUGUGUGCUGCCAGCACCCGGCUGCCCACGCUCGCCUUCCUGCGCUGUCAAACGGGGUGAGAAUGCUGUUCUAGAGCCCGCCCAGCCGCCUAAAGAAAGCACCGCAUGGGAGCAGAGAACGGCACUGCUGCACCUGCCUGCGAGUGGCUUAGGAGCAGCGCUAAGGCCUGCGGGAUCUCAGUGGUGAUGUGGUUUAAACGUAAAUAAACGACGCUGCGGAGGACGACCCAGGCGCGUUCGCUGUCCCCGGGCCGGGCGGCGCGGUGCCCGAGCUGCGUGCUUGGCUGGCUCCCCGCCGCCUUCCAUUGGCUGCAAACCCGAGUGCUCUGCAGCAAGACAAAAAGAGAUUUCAUUUUGCCAGUCCUAAGUCAUCUGUGUGAUUCAUUUUGAUCAUUUCUGCUUAAAAAUAGAUUCAGUUUCUUCACACUAAACUAUUUUAAAUCUAAUUGUAUUCCCAAAUAGUUCUUUCCAAGGUGCAUUUUCAAAGCCAUUUCUUCUUGUUAAUAAUGUAGCUCUUCCAUUUCUGUGUUUGUAUUUUGCGAUUAUGUGAAGAAAUUUUCUGAUUUGUGAAUCAUGACUGUAUGAAAAUGCAUUCUGGUGGUUGUACCUCACUUAGCAAUCGUUUGGUUUUGGAUGGUUAGAACACAGACAAUCUGCUGGAGCUCCAGGUCUCAGCGCUGCUGCUGGUCAGGGCCGUGCUGCCUUCAGACGGCUGUUGGAGCAGGGGCUGCCCUGCUCGCUGCUUGGACAGACAGGCGGUGUGGGUGAGCCCGCUGGACGGGGGCCUCGCAAAGCCAACAGCAAUAAUCACACAACAGCAUAGGCAGGCUCUGUACAUGGAUUUUCAGUUUGAUGCACUUUUCUUAGUCUUACAUAGUUACACACACAGCACUGCUGGUCUGUCUUAUUUAGUUUGUAGUCAAGUAAUUCUUCCUUUAUGCCUUUUUUUUUUUUUUUUUAGGCAGUUUGUCUGGGAUGUUUCCAUGGAUCUGUGGUACCACGUCAUUCCUGUUUCUGAUUUCAGGACUCUUGUCCUUCCAGGAGCUGCUGCUGGGCCGAUUCCCUGUUGUUCCCUCAUUAACGGAACUCCCAGUAAAACAAGGACGCGUCUGGUCUGCAGCCAGCGUGUGGUACACGCGCGGUGCCGUUGCGUUUUCAUCCGAAUGCUUCCCCGGGGCUUUCAACAAAUAAUGGCUCAAUCCCAUUCCUGCUCAGUCUCUCUAAAUCACCUCAGCUGCAAUUUCAGUGCAAUUUCAGAAUAAUGAUCCCAGCAGUUCUGCCUUUCGUUGGCUUUCAGUCUGAGUUCAGCCUUAGCAGACUGCAAAGUAAUAGUUCUGAUUAAAACACGGGAGUUCUAGUUCUGGCUAUGGUCUGUGAGGAAAGAAGUAAGUGUUGAAUGGUUCUGAGGUUCCAGCUGAGUUUUCCUUGUCUCUCCAGUGUAACCUCGGUGGUGCUGGGAUGGCAAAACCCAAUUUCCUGACCCUGCCGAUCAGUCACUUGUCAGCACUGCUGGAGCUGGGACUUCUAGACAAGUAAUGUCAAACGGAGUCAUUAAUCACAUUGUUAGAUUUGUUUAGUAACAUUCCUUUCAGCUUUAAUUACUGGUAAUUUAAAAUCAAACAGUAGCUGUGCUAUUAGUAUUGUAUUUGCCAUUUCUGCAAGUAGGGUUUUCAAGAACAUGUUAAAAGAGCAAGCACACCAUUUUUACACCGUACUGCUUAAAGCAGGUAGACGCAGUCAACCUGUAGAAGGGAGGGGAGAUGAGACUGCACAGUCAGGCUGUGAAUGGAGAGUCAAAGUCUGACCCCAGUGGUACAACAUGACAAAUGUAUUCUGAUUUACUAGUUUGUCUAUGUGGCUUUCAGUGCUGCACUUCUUAAAUACGUUAUCGAAAAUAGGUGUCAGGACAAAAUAUGACAUUGCCUUUCUUUUAGAGACUCGGUAUAUGUAUUCUUGAAAGAUUUAAUGGAUUUCAACCAUUGUGCUUUUGUUUGAAUCAAAACUGACUGAAAGUAUUAUUUAAUCCUGCAAAUCUAGUUAGGAAGAAAGAGAAAAUUGUAAAUUUUAUUUUUACUUCUAUGAAACAUAAUUUAUAAAUAUUUAUAAAUACAAAUAACCACCAUAACUGUGAUUCCUGAAGCCGCCUGGGCUGUUCUGCGCUGUGCUCCCGUUUCGGCAGUGAGCGGGGGCUGCCAGCCCAGCCCUGCCCGCCGCCCCCAGCCUGGCAGGGUGACCAGGCUCAUCGGAGCGGGGAGAGAAAUACAACAGGAUAUAGUAUUUGCAUGUGUAGUAAUGGUAAUUAUCACAGAAAUCAAGAACACACUAAAUACCAGUCACUCACCGUUCAGCUGCUCAAUAUCUCCAUAAACUCCCACCUUUCAAAACGCUGGGGGGUUGGGCUCGAUGGCCUUUCAAGGUCCUUUCCAACCUGGGGUGUCUGUGAUUCUCUGUUUGCUAAAUCAUUAAUGUACUGUUUUCACAGGAAACGUAACUUCACUGACCGCCUUGAACCUGAGACACUGUCCCCUUGGAUUUCCACCUAAAGGUGUGGUGCGGAAGGGGCUGAAGCGCAUCCUGCGCUUUCUGCGGGGCGCGGGACGCUGGGCGCGGGGCGCUCGGCGUGGGACGCUGCGGCUGUGCUGGGGUCUGUUCCUGUCUGCCUGCUGUGGGUUGUUCUGAAGAGGUGCGGGCCAGGGCCAGCUUUCCUGGCGGGCUUUUCACCACAGGUUUGUCCAGCGCGCGUCUGAAGGGGUAGAUGGGGAAAAAGAAAAGCUCCAGUGUUGUGAUAGAAAAUCAAACCGGGAAUCUGAAACCUCCGAGUGGAGAAGAGGUUGUAUUUGUGUGAGAGAGUCUUAAUUAGACAUGAUGUGGUUAGAACAGAAGAUGGAGUUUUAGCAGGGGCUGUUUAGGAUGAGCAGCGCAGCAGCAUGACCAGAAGGCUGGACUGUGUCAUUAAGGUGAAAACCAGCUCAUGGAGAGGCCGGACACUUGUACGAGCAGUGGAGGGGAUAAGUACCCAGGCAGAUGAGACUUUUUAAGGGGUAGUGGGGAAACUGAGAUGUUAGGGCAAUGAAAGAGGACACUCAAUUAGCAGAAGACCGUGGGAAAACAAUGGAAACACAGAACUUGGCUUGCAGAAGAAAAGCAGAACCAAAACAAGUCCAGAUGGUCAGCGAAGCUUCUGCGUGGGGACACAGAGCGGUUCGGGGUCCCGGAGUGCUGCAGACACCGAGGAAAACGGCACCGGGUACGGGGGCAGCUGCUUGUGCCUGCCCGUGGGGACCUCACCGGCCGGUUCGAAGCACAGACCCGCUGCUUUUGAGCAGUUUGGCGCGCUCUAGAUACACCAUCCACCAGAACUGAGUUCUACAAGCUGCUUGAUACUGUUCAUCCACGUACCCAAGGCGUGACCGUGUUUGCUUGUGUUUUCCUGUUGAGCUCUCAUUCUUCAAGCACAAACACGAUGUGCUCUUUAUCACACUUUCUUCUUUUUUUCCCCACAGUAUUGUAGUUAUAAAUUUACAUUAAGAGGGUAAAAUUAAGAAGUCGUCAGCAGAGAGGAAAAGAUGCAACAUAACUUGCAUUACUUAUGGCCCAAUAGAUCCAGAAGUCAUUAAUAAUGGGAAUACUGGGCAUACUCCCACAGAAGAACUCUCCUCGUGCUGAAGCUCCGCUGCAAUGAAGGCGAAUUACUGUGGGUACCACCAGUAUCAGACUGGGCCAGGGAUGUUAAAUGUGAUAUCGUUGAAGGGAACGCAGUAAAUUCAGAGUAUGAAUGAACCACAUGCGAUGCUGUAUGGUGGAAUAAUAUAAAAAUAUCAGCUCAAGAUGCCAUGAUACUGAAAAUGAAGUCAAAAUACGGGUGUAAAGAUGACGACUAGAUCUUUUUAAUUAAUAUCAGUUUAAUGUAUGGUGUCCUUAAAGGGAACCAUGUGUUUCCAGAACUUCCUGCGAUUAUUGUCUUCAUGUUUAAAGGCCUUGUUUAUAAUUCUUGUUUUGAGACAAAUUAUAUCUCAGUAGUGUUGCUUAAUUACCGCUGUUUACCUUCCACCGUCACAUUUUGGCAUGACCUGAGGGCCAGCAGUGCAGUUUUCUACGGAGUCAAGAUUCAGCUGCGUUACGAGUGCUUAAUGUUUAUAUAAUUGUUGCCGUAGUAGUGGAGUGAUCAGGAUGUCAGGUGAGGUUGUGGACUCAGGCAUGUCUGGCUUUCAUACUGUGCAGCCUGCAGACUCGUGUGCUGUGUUAGAGAAAUCAAGCAGCUCGGGGGGCUGGCGAGUUAAACUGUGCGAGAUCCUCAGUCUUGAACAUUUGGAGGAUUUGGUCGGUAUUUGGUUAGCGUUCUGCAAAACCGCUAAUCAAAAGCACUUUCUCUGCUGAUUUUUGUCUGCAGAAGAACGUGGGAUUGCAUUCUGUCCUACUUAACUCAAAUGCAACAGACUGCAUCAACAAAACAAUUAUAAAUUAUGCUCUGGAACAGUGUUGUAACUUAAUCACGUUACCAUGUUCAAUGUUAAUUUAGAGAGUGGUAUAUUUAAAGAAAAAGAGUUCCAUGGACUUUAAUAUUUAGUAUCUGUGGGCAUGCACAUGAAGUUUGGGAACCUUCUGUAACGUGCGGGAGUGCUGCGCUCCCUCCCACGUGGCCCAUCUGUCGUGCUGGGUAGAGCAGCGUGCCGGGGUGCUGCACACACGCGCCGUGCCGAGGGGAUAACAGAAUGUACCUUGGAAUAACGUGGGGGUUUUUCUCGAAUGUGAGAAGGGGAAAUGAAACCCAGUGUGUUUCUUCUGCAGGAGCCAGGGAGCCUCCUGAAUCUGUCGUUUCUAGGGAGCCAAACCCCUGCGUGCCUCACGAUCCGCACACGGCAGUGGAAGGUGAGCGGGGUGCACGUGUUCCCCGUGCAUCAGGUGAAUACCAAAGUUCAGUUGUAUGUGAAGGUUAAUACCUAUAAAGAUGUAAUCUGAGAUAACACGAAGUGUGUUUGACCUAAGAAGCCGGCUGGGAUGAAACCCGAGGUGUGCCAAAGCUCUCAUCAGUACUUCAGUCUUAGUCAUCGCAUUACAUUGCAUGUUUAGAUUGAUUAUGUUGAAAGAGCUUUCCUGUUUUGACUCACAGAUUGCAUUUGGGCACUUGUAGUAUGUUAAUGAUUAUUGUAUCUCUUUGCUUUGGGUUUUUUCUUCCUCCGAUGUAUGGAACAUAUUUUUAACUCCUAUUCAUCAUGCAGGGAACUCUAAUUCUGUCAUAUGCAGUUCGUGUAAUACUUAUUUAUACCCAAAUGUAUAUUGGCAGGCUAUAAAUGCUGCAGAAAAAUGAAGUGAGAGAAGAAGUGAGGGUUAUAUCCAGCAUUAACUCAAUCCUUGGAUGUGUGUGCAUUAUGAGAGUCUGAAUUUCCAAUCUAUUUUUUCCCUCGGAGCAGAGAUCCCAGUGUGAGCCGGGAUUUUCCACGUGCGUGUCCUGUUUCAGGUCACCGUUACUCACCCAGCGCUCGUCACGGCCGUGUCUAAACCUGCCGACACCCGCGUGGACGCUGCCUUCAGCCGCUCGGUGCUGGGCCGGCGCCGCAGGGCUCGGUGGCCCCGGCAGUGUCACGGGGCCGCGCUCCUGGGUCCCUCCACCCGUGACAGGGACAGGGACCUGCAGAGAGCGGGGCUGUGGCCACUGCUGCGAGGCCGUGGGGGCUGCUGCCUGGCGAGGACGCGCGGCUCUCAAGCUCGCUGUACCUCCGAGGGACUGGGCGUUAGCAGGAGCGAUCGGAACGUCAAAUCGGCUUCUGCAUGGUGGAAUCGAUAAAAGGCUGGGUGGAGAGUUGACCACAUCAUGAGAUGUGUGAAUGAUCAAGCUGCUGUUGUACUCACAUUCAUCAAUAGACAGGUGGUUUCUUCCAGAACACAGAUAGCUUUAAACUCGUGAAAAAUCCUUGAGAAUAAAACACGUAUUAAAAGAAAAAAAGCCCAACAAAUCCCACUCUGUUAGACUGACUGAUUGAUGCUAUCUAAAUCCUGUUCUUUGCUUAGGAAGAAACCUAACCCAAUUGGUGUGCAGGAUGACGGUGUCUACCCUCCCUCCCAUCUAACAGGAACGACAGCUGUUGAAAAGCUGAACUUGGGCGAGCUGUUGCAGUGCGGUUUGGAUUUGUCGGGCGAGUGGCCCAAUGAAGAGGAAGAGCUGAGCCUGGAGAGGCCGAGCGGAACAACGCUGCAGGGGACGCGGCACAAGGUGGGGACACGGCGCGAGGAGCAGCACAGCGCCAGCCCGGCCCGGCCGCCCAGGUGACCGCGGUGCACACCGCUCGCCGCGGGGAUGGCACCGGCACACGCCGCUCGCCAUGGGGAUGACAGCGGCACACGCCGCUUGCCGUGGAGACCCCGCCGGGGCUGCGGGACCCGGCACUGCUGCUGGGAAACACAAAUCAUCUCAGUGCGGAUCAUCCUCUUCAUUGGCGAACACGUGUUUGAUGAAUAAAUGGUGGUUUUGACGUAAGUAUAUAGAUUACAAAAUAGCUGUUGUAUGUUCUAUUGGUUUAAGUAUUUUUCUCCAAAAUUAAAACACACCAUCAAUCUUCUCUAUUUUCUCAUGAACUUACUUCUAUAUUCCUAUUUUGAUAAUUGAACGUCCAGAUUCAUUCAACUGAAACCCAUGGAAUUUUAGAAUACAGAACAAGCAAGGACUGUAGAAUUCUGCAGGUAACUUGGUUCUUCAUUUCUAAUAUAUGCAAUAUGAUAAAUAACUAUUCUCUGCAUUCUAUGGAAUAUAUUGCAUAGGGUUAGAUAUUGAUAUUCUCACAUUUGUUUGCUUUGGGUUGUUUUGUUUGUUUGAAUAUAGAAACAAAUCCUGUAGAAUUCCUGGUUUAUGCUUAGGUUUUGUCCUCACAGGACAACCUUAGGCUUGCACUGGGUUUUAUGAAGUAAUUCACUUGGUAAAUUAAACAUGGUUUUUUGCUUGAAAUAUUUGAAUACAUUGAGAUAAACCGGACUGCUCAUAUGCAGGAUCACAAGUAAUAAGUUCUGAGUGUGUUUAUCAUUAGAUGUGCUUACUUUCCUAUGUAGUAUUUAAUUAACAAUAUCAAAAUGUCCAUUUUUAAAGGAGGGCGUCUACACAGAAAUAGAUGUACUGAGUUUCUAUCCUACGAUAGGAGAAUUCGGGCAAAGCGAGAUGAAAAAUGCACAUCAGCAGCAGAAAAGGAGCUGCGAGAGGAACAAGCUUUAUUUGGACAAAGGAAAGAUCAGUGGAAAUGGAGAGCAGUGCUCUGUUUCUGUGCCAGACGAGGGCAGUGCAAGGAGAAAUAUCCUGAAACUUGGGACUGAAGGAGAGAAGAGCUGGAGAACUGCUGCAGGCAGUCACAAUCGGAGUGGAUAUCAUCUUAAUGUCACCUCCAUUGAUGAACCUGGGACACGCGACGGGUCAGAUGAUGUUAUCCAGCAGAAUGUGGUAGGGCUGUCUGAUUCUUCAUGUUCACUCGCAUUUAUUCAGUAUCUAAACGUGCUGAGUUUGAACUGCAGUCCCGAGGUGAACCAUGGAGCUCGUUACCAGUCCUCCCAGCAGCUUAAUUACUCUGCCUGGCUUUUGGUUGAAUGUGUCCGGCUCUUUGCUGCUGUUUCCCUGCACUGAAGUGGGAACCGAGUCUCUGCAGUUCUUGUCUUCCUUCGGUAAGUUCAUGUUUCUGAAGAGGCCCCUGGUAGUUUGUUUCUCUUUACUGGAAGCUGCUGGGUCUGAUGAGUAUCACAUCUGGUUCAGCUGUCAAUGGCUGAACAUGCAAACAGGAAGGAUAACAUUCACUUUUAUUACGGCUUAUAAAGGUUGGUAUUAACCUUUUCAGCAAUAAAGAAGUGCUUCAGGAAUGGCACAGCCAAGCAAAUUUGAUGAAAGAAAAAAACUGUUUAGAUUUUCACCUACAAAUGCAGAUACAUUAUGUGACAGCAAACAGCAAGGUAGGAGACCGGAGAAAAACAAACCAUUAAUGAUACCCUUUGAUUUAUUUUCUUCAUAGCCCAUCUGUUUAAAUGUAAAGCUCAGAGGAGCGGGGCUGAGCGGGCCAGCCCCUGGCGGUGCUCUGCAGAGCCCGUGGCUCCGCAGGACCCGCUGCAGAGCGCAAACUGCUGGGAGUCGGUCCCGGCCCCCAUCGCCGGGCUGCUCCGAGGCGCUGGGACAGAGGUGCCUGUGUUGAAAUACGGGCUUUGGAAUUACUGAACGGCUCCAGUACGAGAUGUGGCCUCUGCCAAACCGAAUUUGCAGUGGGCUGGGUGUUCUGGUUCCUGCAGGGUCUGUAGGCGCUGGCGAUUGAAGGCGGGAGCUGGCUCCUGGGUCUCCGGGCGUGUGCGAGAGGCCUGGAAAGGGUUUUUCCCAAAGUAACACACAUUAAAAGCAGCACCUCAAAACACAGAUGAUUCCGGUAGUUUUGCCAUUAGAUUCUGGUUCCUGUAUGCAGCGUUGCAAGGAUGAGGCGUGCCCAUGAACACGGGUGGUUUUCCGGUGCUGUGUGACCUGACCUGCACCGCGGGGCUGGGUGCGGCACUCGGGCACCAGCACCGGCGGAGCCUGGGGCGUGGGGCAGUUCACUGUGCACAAUUCCUUCUCGUGUUCGUGAUUGCUGGGCUUGCUGCCGCUAACCUCCGAAUGUGGAAAUAAACCCGCUUUGUCUGAAA
This is an RNA transcript of Columba livia (rock pigeon), 13073 nucleotides long. RefSeq lists it as uncharacterized. The transcript is spliced from 4 exons. The record is from RefSeq and is a predicted model, not a curated record. NCBI's taxonomy places the organism in Eukaryota, Metazoa, Chordata, Aves, Columbiformes, Columbidae.